Molecule: ribosomal RNA, 787 nt
Filed under: Escherichia coli
Lineage: Bacteria; Pseudomonadati; Pseudomonadota; Gammaproteobacteria; Enterobacterales; Enterobacteriaceae
Description: partial 23S ribosomal RNA
Rfam family: Bacterial large subunit ribosomal RNA
Source: RNAcentral
GUGACUGCGUACCUUUUGUAUAAUGGGUCAGCGACUUAUAUUCUGUAGCAAGGUUAACCGAAUAGGGGAGCCGAAGGGAAACCGAGUCUUAACUGGGCGUUAAGUUGCAGGGUAUAGACCCGAAACCCGGUGAUCUAGCCAUGGGCAGGUUGAAGGUUGGGUAACACUAACUGGAGGACCGAACCGACUAAUGUUGAAAAAUUAGCGGAUGACUUGUGGCUGGGGGUGAAAGGCCAAUCAAACCGGGAGAUAGCUGGUUCUCCCCGAAAGCUAUUUAGGUAGCGCCUCGUGAAUUCAUCUCCGGGGGUAGAGCACUGUUUCGGCAAGGGGGUCAUCCCGACUUACCAACCCGAUGCAAACUGCGAAUACCGGAGAAUGUUAUUACGGGAGACACACGGCGGGUGCUAACGUCCGUCGUGAAGAGGGAAACAACCCAGACCGCCAGCUAAGGUCCCAAAGUCAUGGUUAAGUGGGAAACGAUGUGGGAAGGCCCAGACAGCCAGGAUGUUGGCUUAGAAGCAGCCAUCAUUUAAAGAAAGCGUAAUAGCUCACUGGUCGAGUCGGCCUGCGCGGAAGAUGUAACGGGGCUAAACCAUGCACCGAAGCUGCGGCAGCGACACUAUGUGUUGUUGGGUAGGGGAGCGUUCUGUAAGCCUGUGAAGGUGUGCUGUGAGGCAUGCUGGAGGUAUCAGAAGUGCGAAUGCUGACAUAAGUAACGAUAAAGCGGGUGAAAAGCCCGCUCGCCGGAAGACCAAGGGUUCCUGUCCAACGUUAAUCGGGGCAGGGU